Long non-coding RNA from Planococcus citri (citrus mealybug), 3362 nucleotides. RefSeq lists it as uncharacterized. NCBI's taxonomy places the organism in Eukaryota, Metazoa, Arthropoda, Insecta, Hemiptera, Pseudococcidae. The record is from RefSeq and is a predicted model, not a curated record. The transcript is spliced from 3 exons.
GGACGUCUUGGUUCAUUUGUUUCUAUUCUUGGUUCACUUUUAUCUUAUACUUAAUGAUGACAAAUCUGCUCGUGAGAUAUUGCUGUUGAAAAAUUUCACGUGUCUUCCGUUAUCAUUAUAUAUCGUGUGUGUUCUUGUUGUUUUAUUCGAUGAAGGCGAAAUUCUCUUUGAUACUCCUCCUCGUUCACGUUUUAUGCGUAUUUUUGCAUAUGAACAAUAUUUCAUGCAUUGUUUAUCCACGUAGCAAAGGUCCUCCGGAAAAAUAUUGCGGCCCCAAUUUGUCUGGCAUUCUGGAUACCUUAUGCGUGGAAUACUCUUUGCCGGCUGAAUAUAAAAGAUCAAAUUCUAUUGGAAACAAUUAUCUUUCGACUAAACAUGGUAAUCCUUUUUUGAACCCGAGAUACGCGUUAUCUUCCUUUUUUCGACGAGCUAGAAGCGAUUCGUUCACAGUUUCAGCUCACGACGAAUGUUGCGAAAAGGGAUGUACCAUCGCUGAAUUAUUGCAGUAUUGUAAAGUGACUAAUUAUUCCGUCGAAUAGGUCCAGAUACUUUAUUUAAUGCUACUCUAAUAUCAUUCGUAGUACCUUUGUAGCAUGCUUAAUUUUUUUCAAAAGUCACCAUCUUAUAUUACACCUUAAGUCACGUCGGCCGGUAUUAAUAUAAUACAUAGGUACUUAUUGAUUGAUUAAUGUGUAGGCAAAAGUAGGCACUUGUAAAACGAUGAACGAUCAUCUCGAUUAUUUACUUGAUAAAAAAUGCUACCAGGGUACCAAAAAUACAGGGUACCUAAAAAAGUAUCCUUUAAAAAUCUAUACUGCGUUUGAAUCAUGCAUCGUGUCAGCUUGUAUUGUAAAAUCAAAAUUUUUAUUGAAUUUUCACUCGGGCAUUAAUUUACUUUAAGUAAAUAGGGUGCUGGUAUAAAGCUUCUUACGUCUAGUACAUUUUUUAAUAAGUACCUAUAUGUAGAAGGUUUAUGUUGCUCAAAUUCUAUUUAAUUACUUCAACUCAUACGCCUAUACCUGUAAAAUGAAUAGGUGGGCUAUGUUACAAUGUACAAUUAUUUUUAGCAAAAUAUUUUAAGUUAGGUAUUUACAUACAGGCAUACGAAGAACACUCUGCGAGUAAUUUUCUAGCACACUCGAAGAAUUUGUUUAUUUUUUUCAUAUUUAAAAAAAAAUCCAAUUAAGGAACAAUACAUGAUGUGAUCUUUCGUUCAAAAUCAGUGAACUGAUUGACUUUGAACUAAAUAAACGUGCGCCACCCGCAAUCUCUAGUGCGUUCAAAGUACCUAGUCGUUUCGAUUGACACCGUUGUUAACCGUUGAAACAAAAUUAAAAAUAAGAAAGUCACAUUCCGGUUCAAAUUCUUUUUGAAAAAAAAACGUCAAAAAUUUCCUACAGUUUGAUUUUUUAUCCGAAAUUUUACGAGAUGUUCCAUUUUUUGAGGUGUCUGUGAACGGGAGGUCUUUUGUAAGGUAUUCUUGAAUUGAUACCCACGUAUUACAUACAAUGUAUGACAAGGCGUUCGAAAAAGAUAUCGACUAAUUAACUGAAACAAGCUGAUUAGUGAUUACCAUCUAUCUACUAAUUAGUUUCAGACCUUUCAGACAAUUGAAAAAUGUAGGCUCAAAAACUAAAAAUAGGUAUAACAAAAGUUCAGAAUUUGGGACACCUAUCCACGAAGUGCAUCGAUUCAAAAUUCAAAAUAACCUAGGUACUAUCAUCAUUGACCAAAAAAAUGACAUUAACUAUGGAAAAGCAAACAUUGUCAAUCCCCCUUUUUAUUUUGGAAUAUAAUGCCAGUUAUGAUAAAAUCACACAGAUCUAGGAACUCUAAAAGUCUCAAGUGGAAUUCAAGUGGGUGAUUUUGAUAGAAUUUCUCAGAUUGAUUUCGAGAAAAAUGACGAAAAAAUUAAUUUUUUAUCCUAAAAAAAGAGGAUUAAAACAAAAUAGGCGAUUUUUUUCAAGAAGUAUAAUCUUCAAGAUAUUUUAUUUAUUUCAAGUUUUAAAGUUCCAUUUUGGUAUUCGGUUGUAAAUACCUAUCUAUAUGUAUUAUGAAAGCUAAACUUCACAAGAAAGAAAUCAAAGAACUUGACUGAUGAAAUUUUUAUGGUCUACAAUAAAUUUCAGUUUUAUUCACAUUUUUUGUCGUAGAAACUUUUAAUCACCUGAGAAAUACAUUUUUUGGAUUGUACAUUUCUUAGAUCAUGAAAUCGAUUUUCUGCCAAAACUCCAUUUUUUGAAGUUUGAACAAAAUUGUAGUCCAUAAAAUUUUACAAUAUUAAAGUUCAAUAAUUUGUUUCGUAGGAAAGCUUACAAUUAAUUUGUGAAGUACUUUAUUCUUGCUCGUAUAAAGCUGAACAUUUGUCUUUUGCAACCAUAUAUCUAGAAAACUAAGCUUUUUUCUAAGAAAAAAAUUAAUAGAACUUUAUUAUUAGAAAUUUUUAUGGCUUACUUAUAAUUUCGUUUUUAUUCUUUUUUUUCUUAGAAUCCUUUGUUUCUUCCCAAAAAUUGAUGAAUAUUGAUAUAAAAAAUUGAUUUUUUAGGCGAACAAAAGAUUUUAUGAAAAAUCAAAUGUAAAAAGAAUAUAAAUAAUCAUAAAAUCAUCUACCAGUCAAGUUCAAUAUUUUCUUUUUGGAAGCCUAGUUUUUGAGGUUUAGCCAAGAAAAAUAACUUUUACCUUGAAAUAUGAAAAAUUAGUGUGAAUAAUUUCAACUAAAAAAUUAGUUUUUGCAACAAAAACUUUUUUGAUGAAGAAUAAUUGGAAUAAUAUUGUAUUAAGAAUUGAAAAUGUUUAAAAAGUGGGGGCCAAGAGCGUAGAAAAUUCAUGGGCCACAUAUUUAGGUACAAAAUGGUCCUGGAAUAUCACUGAACUAUAGAACAAAAAAUAGUCUGAGCCUUAUAAAAUGCCAUAAAGUCUGUAAUUUUUCGCCUGAAGAUCUUUCAAGUAAGUAAUUCUAAAAGAUGUAAACACAAAUAGGAAUGAUUUGACAAAAUUAACUGCACCGAUAAAAAAAUACCUGGGUAGGUACUUAUUCAAGUUUUCAUUUUUUAAAAAAAAUCAUUCUUUCAUGUAUCUUUUUCAAUUAAGUCACAUAUUUUUCGAUGCAUUGGAAACAUUUUGAAAAUUUUAAUUUAACAUUAUGUUUAUAUUUUAAUUAAAGAAAUGCGUAUUCCAUUCAUAAUUGCGAGUUAAUUAUACUGGCAAUUUUACCAGCAUCGCGAUAUCGCACAUUUGUAUUUGUCUUAAGGCUUCGAUUCAUUUCUCAUUUAGUGAUUCUCUUACGUAACGUAUACCUACAUAUGUUUAAUUAGAAUGUAAUAGGUACAAAUUCAUUAAAUUAUUUUGAUUGCUUUUAUCGA